AGCAGCCGCGGUAAUUCCAGCUCCAAUAGCGUAUAUUAAAGUUGUUGCAGUUAAAAAGCUCGAGUUGAAUUUCGGGGUUAGUAGGUUGGUCAUGCCUCUGGUAUGUACUGGUCUCACUGAUUCCUCCUUCCUGAUGAGCCGUAAUGCCAUUAAUUUGGUGUUGCGGGGAAUUUGGACUGUUACUUUGAAAAAAUUAGAGUGUUUAAAGCAAGCUAACGCUUGAAUACAUUAGCAUGGAAUAAUGAAAUAGGACGUUCGAUCCUAUUUUGUUGGUUUCUAGGAUUGACGUAAUGAUUAAUAGGGAUAGUUGGGGGCAUUAGUAUUCAAUUGUCAGAGGUGAAAUUCUUGGAUUUAUUGAAGACUAACUACUGCGAAAGCAUUUGCCAAGGAUGUUUUCAUUAAUCAAGAACGAAAGUUAGGGGAUCGAAGACGAUCAGAUCCCGUCGUAGUCUUAACCAUAAACUAUGCCACUAGGGAUCGGAUGAUGUUAAUUUUUUAAUGACUCA
Molecule: ribosomal RNA, 506 nt
Filed under: Glomus sp. Glo8
Lineage: Eukaryota; Fungi; Glomeromycota; Glomeromycetes; Glomerales; Glomeraceae
Description: SSU rRNA
Rfam family: Eukaryotic small subunit ribosomal RNA
Source: RNAcentral